RNAcentral lists this ribosomal RNA (305 nucleotides) under uncultured bacterium. Its description in RNAcentral is "bacterial SSU rRNA". It matches the Rfam family "Bacterial small subunit ribosomal RNA", at positions 334 to 636 of the family's 1533-position model. The record is from RNAcentral.
UUGUCCUACGGGGGGCAGCAGUGAGGAAUAUUGGUCAAUGGCCGCAGGGCUGAACCAGCCAAGUCGCGUGAGGGAUGACGGUCCUAUGGAUUGUAAACCUCUUUUGUCAGGGAGCAAAGGGCGCCACGUGUGGCGUUUUGCGAGUACCUGAAGAAAAAGCAUCGGCUAACUCCGUGCCAGCAGCCGCGGUAAUACGGAGGAUGCGAGCGUUAUCCGGAUUUACUGGGUGUAAAGGGUGCGUAGGCGGCCCUGCAAGUCAGAAGUGAAAUCCAUGGGCUUAACCCGUGAACUGCUUUUGAAACUGU